CCUGGAUCCAGCCGCCUCUGAAAAGCCCCCAUGACCACAUGAGGCUUUAGGGGGACAUCUAGACACAGCCAUCACAAGCCCCAAAGUGGAAAAGCCCUGGAUCUCCACCAAGUGGAGAACAGACGGAACACAGCGCCUCCCUGAAGGAAAUGUUCAUCCACACCGAGGGAUGAGCCCUGUGUGUCUUUCAACACCACGAUCCUGGAGAGCGUCAGGCCAAGAGGGAGAAGCUAGCAGGCAGGGCUGCACGUCGUGUGAUCCUGGCCCUGUGCCACUUGGACCGCAAGUCUCGGAGACGGAGAUGGAGGAUCUGCCCAGUCUCGCUCAGCACCCUGGUGGCUUCACCUGGCAGGGACCCCUCGUGUCCGCCUGGAGCAGCAGUCUGGCCCCACAGAGCAGCUCCAAUGACACUGCGCCUCCUGCUUCCCAAGAACCCAGGGGUCUUACUGGCACCCGACAGUCCCUGACCAUCAGGGCAGAUGUGUUUCCUCUCAUGACCCGAACCGUGGUGAUCAGCAGGGCCUCGGGCAGCUCCCCCCACCCCACCCACUCACUGUGUGACAUGUUGGGAAUUGCACAUGGCAACUAAUCAGCGACAACAAGAGGACGUGAGGAUCUUGAGAUGUGCAGAAUGAAAAGAUCUCGUGACUAGUAGGAUGUGGUGGUGCAUACCCAUCAGUCUAGCACUCAGGAGGCUGAGGCAGGAGGAUCACCAUGAAUUCGAGGCCACCCUGGG
This is a long non-coding RNA of Heterocephalus glaber (naked mole-rat), 736 nucleotides long. NCBI's taxonomy places the organism in Eukaryota, Metazoa, Chordata, Mammalia, Rodentia, Bathyergidae. The record is from Ensembl.